Molecule: ribosomal RNA, 767 nt
Filed under: uncultured bacterium
Lineage: Bacteria
Description: bacterial SSU rRNA
Rfam family: Bacterial small subunit ribosomal RNA
Source: RNAcentral
UCUUUAUCACCGAGUGCUUGCACUCACCGAUAAAGAGUUGAGUGGCGAACGGGUGAGUAACACGUGGGCAACCUGCCCAAAAGAGGGGGAUAACACUUGGAAACAGGUGCUAAUACCGCAUAACCAUAGUUACCGCAUGGUAACUAUGUAAAAGGUGGCUAUGCUACCGCUUUUGGAUGGGCCCGCGACGCAUUAGCUAGUUGGUGGGGUAAAGGCUUACCAAGGCAAUGAUGCGUAGCCGAACUGAGAGGUUGAUCGGCCACACUGGGACUGAGACACGGCCCAAACUCCUACGGGAGGCAGCAGUAGGGAAUCUUCCACAAUGGGCGAAAGCCUGAUGGAGCAACGCCGCGUGGGUGAAGAAGGUCUUCGGAUCGUAAAACCCUGUUGUUAGAGAAGAAAGUGCGUGAGAGUAACUGUUCACGUUUCGACGGUAUCUAACCAGAAAGCCACGGCUAACUACGUGCCAGCAGCCGCGGUAAUACGUAGGUGGCAAGCGUUAUCCGGAUUUAUUGGGCGUAAAGAGAACGCAGGCGGUCUUUUAAGUCUGAUGUGAAAGCCUUCGGCUUAACCGGAGUAGUGCAUUGGAAACAGGGAGACUUGAGUGCAGAAGAGGAGAGUGGAACUCCAUGUGUAGCGGUGAAAUGCGUAGAUAUAUGGAAGAACACCAGUGGCGAAAGCGGCUCUCUGGUCUGUAACUGACGCUGAGGUUCGAAAGCGUGGGUAGCAAACAGGAUUAGAUACCCUGGUAGUCCACGCCGUAAACG